This 695-nucleotide ribosomal RNA is filed under the name Bacillus licheniformis. Its description in RNAcentral is "bacterial SSU rRNA". It matches the Rfam family "Bacterial small subunit ribosomal RNA", at positions 30 to 749 of the family's 1533-position model. The record is from RNAcentral. Lineage: Bacteria; Bacillati; Bacillota; Bacilli; Caryophanales; Bacillaceae.
CCAAAUACGGCGUGCUAUACAUGCAAGUCGAGCGGACAGAUGGGAGCUUGCUCCCUGAUGUCAGCGGCGGACGGGUGAGUAACACGUGGGUAACCUGCCUGUAAGACUGGGAUAACUCCGGGAAACCGGGGCUAAUACCGGAUGCUUGAUUGAACCGCAUGGUUCAAUUAUAAAAGGUGGCUUUUACCUACCACUUACAAAUGGACCCGCGGCGCAUUACCUAGUGGGGGAGGUAACGGUUCACCAAGGCAACAAUGCGUACCCAACCUGAAAGGGGGAUCGGCCACACGGGGACUGAAACACGGCCCAAACUCCUACGGAAGGCAGCAGUAGGGAAUCUUCCGCAAGGAACAAAAGUCUGACGAACCACCGCCGCGGGAGUGAUGAAGGUUUUCGGAUCGAAAAACUCGGUUGUUAGGAAAAAACAAGUACCGUUCAAUUAGGGCGGUACUUUGACGGUACUUAACAAGAAGCAACGGUUACCUACUUGCCAGCAGCCGCGUUAUACGUAGGUGGCACCUUGUCCGGAUUAUGGGCGUAAGCGCGCGCAGGCGUUCUUAGUCUGAUGUGAAGCCCCGGCUCACCGGGAGGUCAUUGAACUGGGAACUUGAUGCAGAGAGGAGUGAAUUCACUGUAGCGUGAAUGCGUAAGAUGGAGGACCAUGCGAGCGACUCCUGUGACUGACGCUGAGCCGA